UCCAGGGUAGCUUAGUGGACAUGGCAUCUGCCCGGUAAGCAGAAGGUUGUGGUUCGAUUCCCGCCCCUGGAC
RNAcentral lists this transfer RNA (72 nucleotides) under Cordylochernes scorpioides. RNAcentral describes it as "tRNA-Thr". It matches the Rfam family "tRNA". From Rfam's summary of the family: Transfer RNA (tRNA) molecules are approximately 80 nucleotides in length. Their secondary structure includes four short double-helical elements and three loops (D, anti-codon, and T loops). Further hydrogen bonds mediate the characteristic L-shaped molecular structure. tRNAs have two regions of fundamental functional importance: the anti-codon, which is responsible for specific mRNA codon recognition, and the 3' end, to which the tRNAs corresponding amino acid is attached (by aminoacyl-tRNA synthetases). tRNAs cope with the degeneracy of the genetic code in two manners: having more than one tRNA (with a specific anti-codon) for a particular amino acid; and 'wobble' base-pairing, i.e. permitting non-standard base-pairing at the 3rd anti-codon position. Lineage: Eukaryota; Metazoa; Arthropoda; Arachnida; Pseudoscorpiones; Chernetidae. The record is from RNAcentral.